This 83-nucleotide transfer RNA is filed under the name Canis lupus familiaris (dog). It matches the Rfam family "tRNA". From Rfam's summary of the family: Transfer RNA (tRNA) molecules are approximately 80 nucleotides in length. Their secondary structure includes four short double-helical elements and three loops (D, anti-codon, and T loops). The record is from Rfam by way of RNAcentral. Lineage: Eukaryota; Metazoa; Chordata; Mammalia; Carnivora; Canidae.
GCCUGGGUGGCUCAGUGGUUGAGCGUCUGUCUUUGGCCCAGAGCAUGAUCUUAGAGUCCUGGGAUCGAGUCCCACAUCGGGCU